CACCUUAUUUGGCUAAGGCCAGGAUCAUGCGAUGAUCGUAAGCUGCUUGAGCAUAAGUGGACCUAUGGACAGUGCCCACGUGGUGAUCCAGGAUUGGCUGCCCAGGGCUACUUAAUGACUGGGAGGAGCUUGCCGGGGGAGAGAAACUAUUGUAACAAGGUCCUGAGUAAACUGCUUGCAAGAAGAGCUCUGGUGUUGCGUCUUCCUUGCUGGUCGAGGUGGUCGGGACAAGUGGUGGCUCAUACAGGGAUUCUCCUCUCCUCUUCCUGGAGCACAGAACUUGUAGCAGUCAGGGGGUGCACCGGAUCAUUUGGACCCUAUUUGGGUACCGGAGUGCUUGGUGAGAAAAGUACAAGUGCAGAGGAAUGACAAGCAAGAUGAAGCCUCAGAUUGUGAUCCUACUGAUGGUGACGGUCCUGAUGUCCCCGUUGUUGAUCCAGGCCAAUGAACAAAUCUUGUGGGCCAUAGCAAAAGCAUGGCCAAUUCCUAUACCUGUUCAUUCUACGUCAAAAGUUUUACCUGUCUUUUUUUCCACUAGUUGUGUAUUAGGCUUACCCUGCGUAAAUUUAGACCCUAGCAUGGCUAUGAAUAAUGCAGCUGAUGUUCCUCUUCAAGGAGCACUAUGUUUUUCUCUUGAAAAUAAUUCUAACCCAUGUAUAUGGUUGAAGAAUGGCUCGGUGGGUAACUGGCUUGACCCGUUGACCGAUAGUCAUGUGCCUUUUGCCAUGCUCGUGAAAGCACUGAAAACAAUAAAUACGGGUGCUUCCUCAGGCAUGGGCAGCGGUAAAAAUGGUAGCAAUGCCACAAAUAUUAUUACAUUAUUGAUGUUGAUGGAAGGGCUUCGGCUGUCAAGUUCACGCUUUGGAUUAUGAAAUUCCAUUGCUCGACAAGUAUUAACUUAUUGUGUCCCUAAUUUAGGUUACCCCCCUCAUUGAACACCAUGUCAAAGCCCAGAUCAUAAGCCAAAGCAGAUUGCACCAGGUUUUGAAUUUACCCCUCCUUUAGGAAGAUAUUCCUUUAAUCUUGCUAAUCGGACUAAUCAGAAAACUAAUAAGAAAAAUACUUGGCCCUGGUUUCAAUGGAUUCUUUCUAAUGAAAGAGGGGCCUUUUCAUCCUUAGAGCCUUUUGCUGCCCUUCGUAAUUUGACUGUCUGGCUACUUAACAUCUCUGCCAGCCGAGAUACGAAGGGAGUUCUUUCAAAUGUUACUACAAAUAAAAUGAUGAACAACCUUCCAUUUCUGCCAGUCCAGUGUGCUUAAAGGCACCCUUCUUCUUUUUGCUGACUAAUAUUACCAAUGCCACAGAGGAUGUGAUCUAUUGUAAUUCCUUCAAGGCAGCUUGCCUCGCAAGUCAAUGCUGGAAUGGUACUUAUAACACAGCUGUGGUGAUGAGAGUUCCCACAUAUGUUCUCAUCCCAGUCAGAGUUGAUACCGGUACCUUCCCGAUCACUCAGUUGCUCAGAACAAAACAAGACUCUGGGAUAACAGCAGCCCUAGUCACCGCAAUUGCUGUAUCUGCUGCAGCUGCCAUGACAGCUGCUGUUGCCAUGGCUGCAACAACUCAGAUUGCAGAGACAGUUAAUGAAAUCGUGGAGAGGACAGCCUCCACAAUGACCACUUUGAAAUCUAUCGAUGGUCAUUUAAAAGCUGGCAUUUUGACAGUAAACCAAAGAGUAGACCUCUUGCAAGAGCAAGUGGAUGAUUUAGUAACCUUAACCAGUGUAGGAUGUAUUCGUUCCCUCGCCUCUUUAUGCAUUACUUCCAGAUUGGCUGAGAAUUUUACAAAGAAUGGUAACCUGAACCGGCAGCUGAGCGCACACCUUCAGGGAAACUGAAGCAAGGAGUUCGAGAACCUGACGGACACCUUGAUCAACCAGAUUAUUUCCCUGAAUGCCACACAGCUGGAAUUACCUACUGCUGAUGCUUUUCUUAAUAUGCUGAAAUGAACUUUUAGUUAUUUUAAGGAGUGGGUGGGAAUAGGAGCCCUGACAGGCCUAAUGGUACUUGCCUCCCUGGUAUGUCUGUGGUGUAUUUGUCGCAUGAGGGCCUCACAACAUCACAAUGCAGCAAUAAUCAUUCAAGCCUUCAUGGCUAUUGAAGCAGGACAGUCCCCCCAAGUUUGGUUAAUUACUUUAAAAGAUAUAUUAGCAGGGGAUUUGAGACUUGCACACUGCACUUGAGGGUAAUUACAUCUACCUCAAGAAGAGCAAGUCUGAUUGCAUGUGGGUCGGUGCCUAACUCCCACCUCUGUAAAAAGGGCACCAAGCAGGUCUAGUGUUUUCUGGGUGGAGGACACCUGGAUAAACAAUAGUACAUGCUUCAUUUUUAACAGAGAUCAGACCUCUACUCUUGCCUG
Molecule: non-coding RNA, 2355 nt
Organism: Myodes glareolus (Bank vole)
Lineage: Eukaryota; Metazoa; Chordata; Mammalia; Rodentia; Cricetidae
Source: RefSeq, a predicted model, not a curated record